This 536-nucleotide ribosomal RNA is filed under the name Sungouiella blattae. RNAcentral's name for it is "eukaryotic LSU rRNA". It matches the Rfam family "Eukaryotic large subunit ribosomal RNA", at positions 40 to 641 of the family's 3401-position model. The record is from RNAcentral. Lineage: Eukaryota; Fungi; Ascomycota; Pichiomycetes; Serinales; Metschnikowiaceae.
AUAUCAAUAAGCGGAGGAAAAGAAACCAACAGGGAUUGCCUCAGUAACGGCGAGUGAAGCGGCAAAAGCUCAAAUUUGAAAUCCUUCGGGAGUUGUAAUUUGAAGGUGAAGGGACCGCGGUAGAUGAUGAUUAAAGUCCCUUGGAACAGGGCGCCUUAGAGGGUGAGAGCCCCGUACAGUCAUCCAUCUUCCUCUUAUGUUCUUUCUCCAACGAGUCGAGUUGUUUGGGAAUGCAGCUCAAAGUGGGUGGUAAAUUCCAUCUAAAGCUAAAUACCGGCGAGAGACCGAUAGCGAACAAGUACCGUGAGGGAAAGAUGAAAAGCACUUUGAAAAGAGAGUGAAACAGUACGUGAAAUUGUUGAAAGGGAAGGGCUUGCAAGCAGACACAACCCUCGUGGUUGGGCCAGCAUCGGUUGCUAGGGGUGGAUAAGGCGGCGGGAAUGUAGCUUCCUCGGAAGUAUUAUAUCCCGCUGAGAUACACCCACCGGCGACCGAGGCCUGCGAUUCUAAAUCAAGGAUGCUGGCGUAAUGGUUGC